CUGAGUUGUUGAGAAACUGACGUCAGACCAAGAAACAACAUACUCAGAACAAGCAAAAGAUAGAAAAAAAUAUAUAUAUUAUUGCGGCAUUGUGGAUAAGCUGGAUAAGGUUAUGCACUGCUACUUUCUUUCAGAUUGUCUUAAGCUAGCUGCGAGUAGCUCUCAGGCAAGCAGGACCAGCAUUACUUUGUGCAACAACAACAAGAAGAAGAGGAAGGAGAAGAUGUUAACUCUUGCUGUGGGGUCUUCAUCAGCUGCCAUGGUGUCCAAGGUUUCCACGCAUGGCAAAGCCUUGGCUCACCUUCCAACCACACACUUUGGCUUCCAAGGAUCACAACCACCAUCGCAUCUGUUUAUACCCACCAGACCCUUUUCCUCCUUUAAGACUGCUGUUGCUGCUGUUGACUCAAAUGACCUCAGUUCAUCAUCUACAAAUCAUCCUGACAAGCAACAGGCCAACAAGUAUUAUUUUGUUGUUGCAAAUGCAAAAUUCAUGCUGGAUGAAGAGGAGCACUUUAAGGAGCUCUUGUUUGAGCGCCUUCGUAAUUAUGGGGAGCGUAAUAAAGAGCUGGACUUCUGGCUUGUGAUUGAGCCCAAGUUCUUGGACAAAUUCCCUAAUAUUAAUAAGAGGUUAAAGAGGCCUGCUGUUGCUCUAGUGUCAACAAAUGGUCCAUGGAUCACGUUUAUGAAACUAAGAUUGGACCGGGUUUUAUCUGAUAGCUAUGAAGCUGACACCCUAGAAGAAGCAUUAGCCUCCAAUCCUACGACCCUAGAGUUUGAGAAGCCAGAAAAAUGGGUGGCACCAUAUCCAAAGUAUGAAUAUGGGUGGUGGGAACCCUUCUUGCCUGCUGAAUCUAAAGAAUCAAAAGUACAGAGCACUUAACCUUUUCAUUUUGGCUAGUUUUUAACUCAUCUUUUGUUUUCUUUUUCUUUUUACCACUUUCAAAUUUGUGAGGAAUUUUUUUAAUGCACUAGCAACUGGCAGCCUAAGCUGCUGUUUUCAGCAUGCAACUAUAUGUGAGUUAGAUGAUUAGCUUUGACGGUGACGUAAAUUGUCAAAUUGCUUGCAAUCUAGAAAUUCACAUUUGAAUUCUGAAGAGAGAAUGCAAUAUGGCAUUGUGUAAAUGAGGAGCAUUCUAGAGUGAAGUCUAAUCUAGUGAAAAGUGUAGCAUGAGUAAAUUUUUGGCUUAUAUGUGAAGCAGCUUUCUACUGAGUAAAUUAGCUUCAAAAUCUUCACAAAUUCCAGUCUCAAAUAUCUGAAAAUUCACAUCAACCACAGUUUUGAGUUCUUCGCUAGUGAAUUUAGGAAGAAGAAACAAUGCAUCUCUGUAAAUUAUCCAUCAAUAGGCAUAUGGCAUCUGCUUUCUUCUUACAAAGAUGAUUUUGAGUUUUUUUUUUGGGUU
This 1403-nucleotide unclassified non-coding RNA is filed under the name Hevea brasiliensis (rubber tree). The record is from RNAcentral. Lineage: Eukaryota; Viridiplantae; Streptophyta; Magnoliopsida; Malpighiales; Euphorbiaceae.